CAGUCGCCGCGGUAAUACGUAGGUGGCAAGCGUUGUCCGGAAUUAUUGGGCGUAAAGGGCUCGCAGGCGGUUUCUUAAGUCUGAUGUGAAAGCCCCCGGCUCAACCGGGGAGGGUCAUUGGAAACUGGGAAACUUGAGUGCAGAAGAGGAGAGUGGAAUUCCACGUGUAGCGGUGAAAUGCGUAGAGAUGUGGAGGAACACCAGUGGCGAAGGCGACUCUCUGGUCUGUAACUGACGCUGAGGAGCGAAAGCGCGGGGAGCGAACAGGAUUAGAUACCCCCGUAGUCCCUGUCUUUUAUAC
RNAcentral lists this ribosomal RNA (301 nucleotides) under uncultured bacterium. RNAcentral's name for it is "partial 16S ribosomal RNA". It matches the Rfam family "Bacterial small subunit ribosomal RNA", at positions 509 to 809 of the family's 1533-position model. The record is from RNAcentral.